UAAUACGUAGGGUGCAAGCGUUAAUCGGAAUUACUGGGCGUAAAGGGUGCGCAGGCGGUUCUGUAAGUCAGAUGUGAAAUCCCCGGGCUUAACCUGGGAAUUGCGUUUGAAACUACAGAGCUGGAGUGUGGCAGAGGGGGGUGGAAUUCCAUGUGUAGCAGUGAAAUGCGUAGAGAUAUGGAAGAACAUCGAUGGCGAAGGCAACCCCCUGGGUUAACACUGACGCUCAUGCACGAAAGCGUGGGGAGCAAACAGGAUUAGAUACCCUGGUAGUCCACGCCCUAAACUAUGUCAACUAGUUGUUGGGUCUUAAUAGGCUUGGUAACGUAGCUAACGCGUGAAGUUGACCGCCUGGGGAGUACGGUCGCAAGAUUA
Molecule: ribosomal RNA, 375 nt
Filed under: uncultured bacterium
Lineage: Bacteria
Description: bacterial SSU rRNA
Rfam family: Bacterial small subunit ribosomal RNA
Source: RNAcentral